UGGGGAAUAUUGCACAAUGGGCGAAAGCCUGAUGCAGCAACGCCGCGUGAGGGACGACGGCCUUCGGGUUGUAAACCUCUUUUAGCAAGGAAGAAGCGAAAGUGACGGUACUUGCAGAAAAACGCGCCGGCUAACUACGUGCCAGCAGCCGCGGUAAUACGUAGGGCGCAAGCGUUAUCCGGAAUUAUUGGGCGUAAAGAGCUCGUAGGCGGUUUGUCGCGUCUGCUGUGAAAACCCGAGGCUCAACCUCGGGCCUGCAGUGGGUACGGGCAGACUAGAGUGCGGUAGGGGAGAUUGGAACUCCUGGUGUAGCGGUGGAAUGCGCAGAUAUCAGGAAGAACACCGAUGGCGAAGGCAGAUCUCUGGGCCGUAACUGACGCUGAGGAGCGAAACGGGUGGGGAGCAAACAGGCUUAGAUACCCUGGUAGUCCACCCCGUAAACGUUGGGAACUAGUUGUGGGGUCCAUUCCACGGAUUCCGUGACGCAGCUAACGCAUUAAGUUCCCCGCCUGGGGAGUACGGCCGCAAGGCUAAAACUUGAAAGGAAUUGACGGGGUCAUAGCUGUUUCCU
RNAcentral lists this ribosomal RNA (571 nucleotides) under uncultured bacterium. RNAcentral describes it as "partial 16S ribosomal RNA". It matches the Rfam family "Bacterial small subunit ribosomal RNA", at positions 355 to 1375 of the family's 1533-position model. The record is from RNAcentral.